CAUUGAAACAAAUUAAUCCUAUGCCGUUUAAAUUGACAUGGUAAUCCAUCAUCAGAGAAGGCAAACUCUGAAAGCAAUCUCGAAUCUGCCCUGCUCCUUCACUGGCCCUGGAGGCACAAAGACAGACAGUAAACGGGGGAUUGGGUUCGAGGGGGGCAUAGUCAUAAAAGAUAGAAAUGCCCGGAAAAGAGUAACAUUGGUUCUAUCAGCUCUUACUGUCCUGCCUCUUCAAACCUCCUUUGGAAACUUUCAACAGUUAUUUUCUCAAGUUUGCAGCUAAGUGGGGUCCCUGCUUCCUCCUCCACGCUGGCCGUUCCUGACUCACACUGGCCAUUGCCUGGUGCCUUUGAAAAGUUCAGGAACUGAGGGUACUGGAAGUUAUCCAGCUAGUUUCACAGAAACUCUUCCCAAGUGUUGGGGGCCACUUUUGGAGGUAGGUGGGGAUUAGGUUUUGUUUUGUUUCUUGUUGUUGGGUCCUGAGUGGUAAAGAAUGGAAGAGAAUCUUUCCUUUGGUGCUUUUCCUCUUAUUAUUUCACAUUUCGCAUUUGAUGAGCAAAACACUAUAGUAAUUUCUUAAAAGAAAACCUUUCUGACAUCACUAAAAAAGUGAGGAGCACCGACCUGCCCUGCUAAUUGUCACUUUUUUUUUUUUUUAAAUUUUGGAGAUAUAGUUUUCAAAGCUGCCUUCACAUCAGAAAAGCCUAUGAUGGCAUGUUGUUACAAUUUGAUCUUCAAGGCAGAAAUUGCAUAAUGCAGAACUGUACCAUAUUGGAUUUAUUUAUUUUUAGCAUGCACCUACUCAUUUUCAAGGAAGCAGCCUUUGAAGAGGACAAAUGAAGCUGAUAAUGUUAUCCCAGGCGCCCAGGCUGGGGAAGGUGGUCAUCGAUCAGACCUGGCAUGAAAAGAAAAGGAGGCGGGAGAAGAGGAGAGGACCAGAGGAGGGGAGGAGAGAGGCCUGGACUGAGAUCACCUUCACCUGCCCAGAGCCCGGCCUCCCUGUUGGAGAUCCUUCGACCUUCAACUAGGAUGAAGGGGGCGGGGCAGAAGGGAGGGGGCACUACUGAAUUACACACGUGGCCUCCUUCUAAGAGACCGAGUUCACCUCCUCUCCGGAGGAGCCCCACCAGCCAUCCACUCAUUGUAACUGAUGAGACAAACCGCAAGGAAAAACUUCUGUAGCCCAUAUUUAUGGUAUUAAUGAAUAGUUAAAAAAAGAUUUACACUUCUUAUGAUCAAUAUUCUGAGUUAUUUCCCUCAAAGUAUAUAAUUACAGUGUCUUCAGAGUUUCAUCAUUGUUUGAGGUGGCAAAACCAUUUGUAAUUUUCAUUAGCCAGUAAACAUGUAAUUAACAUUCAGCACUGUGUUUAACUUAAUUCCUGUUUAAGACAAGGACAAGAAGCAGUGAAGAGCGUUAGUUCCAUUUGUCAAGUCUGACAUACAUCUUACCAUAACAGUUUCCUAAAAUAAAAGAUCCAUGUUUCCCCAUUAUUCUCCCCUUAAAACAAACCAAAACAACAACAAAAAUCCAUUAGUUAA
Long non-coding RNA from Apodemus sylvaticus (European woodmouse), 1536 nucleotides. RefSeq lists it as uncharacterized. The record is from RefSeq and is a predicted model, not a curated record. The transcript is spliced from 3 exons. NCBI's taxonomy places the organism in Eukaryota, Metazoa, Chordata, Mammalia, Rodentia, Muridae.